GAAGGUAGCCUGGGGACUGGUGAAGGGGAGCUGGGGAUUUGAUGAAGGGGGGCAGGGGCAAUCCCCUGCCCCCUUCAUCAAAUCCCCAGCUCCCCUUCACCAGUCCCCAGGCUACCUUC
Molecule: non-coding RNA, 119 nt
Organism: Pelobates cultripes (western spadefoot toad)
Lineage: Eukaryota; Metazoa; Chordata; Amphibia; Anura; Pelobatidae
Source: the annotation of a GenBank genome assembly